This 563-nucleotide ribosomal RNA is filed under the name Armillaria gallica. Its description in RNAcentral is "eukaryotic LSU rRNA". It matches the Rfam family "Eukaryotic large subunit ribosomal RNA", at positions 79 to 626 of the family's 3401-position model. The record is from RNAcentral. Lineage: Eukaryota; Fungi; Basidiomycota; Agaricomycetes; Agaricales; Physalacriaceae.
CCUAGUAACUGCGAGUGAAGAGGGAAAAGCUCAAAUUUAAAAUCUGGCAGCUUCGCUGUCCGAGUUGUAAUUUAGAGAAGUGUUACCCGCGUUGGACCGUGUACAAGUCUCCUGGAACGGAGCGUCAUAGAGGGUGAGAAUCCCGUCUUUGACACGGACUACCGAGGCUUUGUGGUACGCUCUCGAAGAGUCGAGUUGUUUGGGAAUGCAGCUCUAAAUGGGUGGUAAAUUCCAUCUAAAGCUAAAUAUUGGCGAGAGACCGAUAGCAAACAAGUACCGUGAGGGAAAGAUGAAAAGAACUUUGGAAAGAGAGUUAAACAGUACGUGAAAUUGUUGAAAGGGAAACGCUUAAAGUCCAGUCGCGUUGGUUAGGAAUCAGCCUUGGUUUUCCUUGGUGUACUUCCUGAUCGACGGGUCAACAUCAGUUUUGACCGUUGGAUAAAGGUCGAGGGAAUGUGGCACCUUCGGGUGUGUUAUAGCCCUUGAUUGUAUACAGCGGUUGGGACUGAGGAACUCAGCACGCCGAAAGGCCGGGUCUUGUACCACGUUCGUGCUUAGGAUGU